UGAGUAAUGUCUGGGAAACUGCCCGAUGGAGGGGGAUAACUACUGGAAACGGUAGCUAAUACCGCAUAACGUCGCAAGACCAAAGAGGGGGACCUUCGGGCCUCUUGCCAUCGGAUGUGCCCAGAUGGGAUUAGCUAGUAGGUGGGGUAACGGCUCACCUAGGCGACGAUCCCUAGCUGGUCUGAGAGGAUGACCAGCCACACUGGAACUGAGACACGGUCCAGACUCCUACGGGAGGCAGCAGUGGGGAAUAUUGCACAAUGGGCGCAAGCCUGAUGCAGCCAUGCCGCGUGUAUGAAGAAGGCCUUCGGGUUGUAAAGUACUUUCAGCGGGGAGGAAGGCGAUACGGUUAAUAACCGUGUCGAUUGACGUUACCCGCAGAAGAAGCACCGGCUAACUCCGUGCCAGCAGCCGC
RNAcentral lists this ribosomal RNA (415 nucleotides) under uncultured bacterium. RNAcentral describes it as "bacterial SSU rRNA". It matches the Rfam family "Bacterial small subunit ribosomal RNA", at positions 107 to 518 of the family's 1533-position model. The record is from RNAcentral.